Molecule: ribosomal RNA, 262 nt
Filed under: uncultured bacterium
Lineage: Bacteria
Description: partial 16S ribosomal RNA
Rfam family: Bacterial small subunit ribosomal RNA
Source: RNAcentral
GUCCACGCCCUAAACGAUGUCAACUGGCUGUUGGGAGAGAAAUCUUUCAGUAGCGAAGCUAACGCGUGAAGUUGACCGCCUGGGGAGUACGGCCGCAAGGUUGAAACUCAAAGGAAUUGACGGGGCCCGCACAAGCGGUGGAUGAUGUGGAUUAAUUCGAUGCAACGCGAAGAACCUUACCUACCCUUGACAUGCCAGGAAUCCCGGAGAGAUCUGGGGGUGCCCGAAAGGGACCUGGACACAGGUGCUGCAUGGCUGUCGU